AUGGCGGCUAGUUCAAGCUCGCAGGGGAGUCAGGGUAAGGAGACGACGGAUGAGUUACUUGCCCGGUUGAAUUUGCAGGAGGAGGAAGACGAUGACUUUGUGUGGGAGGAGGAAUUACCGGACCUGGGAGUGCCGGCGAAGUGGCUUGCCAUAGCCAGGGUGCAUACAUCAAGGACUUUCAGCCCUAAUGCUCUAUAUGGGGACAUGCGUGCAGCGUGGAAUCCUGCGAGAACGGUGGUCUAGAGGAAGAUUAAGGACAAUUUGUUCACAGCUCAG
Molecule: ribosomal RNA, 276 nt
Filed under: Triticum aestivum (bread wheat)
Lineage: Eukaryota; Viridiplantae; Streptophyta; Magnoliopsida; Poales; Poaceae
Description: partial small subunit ribosomal RNA
Source: RNAcentral